Molecule: ribosomal RNA, 305 nt
Filed under: uncultured bacterium
Lineage: Bacteria
Description: bacterial SSU rRNA
Rfam family: Bacterial small subunit ribosomal RNA
Source: RNAcentral
UACAGCCUACGGGAGGCAGCAGUGAGGAAUAUUGGUCAAUGGUCGGGAGACUGAACCAGCCACGCCGCGUGAGGGAUGAAGGUACAGAGUAUCGUAAACCUCUUUUGUCAGGGAACAAAGGCGGGGACGCGUCCCCGGAUGAGUGUACCUGAAGAAAAAGCAUCGGCUAACUCCGUGCCAGCAGCCGCGGUAAUACGUAGGGGGCAAGCGUUAUCCGGAUUUACUGGGGGUAAAGGGAGCGUAGGUGGCAGGGCAAGUCAGAUGUGAAAACCCGGGGCUCAACCCCGGGAGUGCAUUUGAAACUG